This 433-nucleotide ribosomal RNA is filed under the name uncultured bacterium. Its description in RNAcentral is "partial 16S ribosomal RNA". It matches the Rfam family "Bacterial small subunit ribosomal RNA", at positions 29 to 507 of the family's 1533-position model. The record is from RNAcentral.
AACGAACGCUGGCGGCAUGCCUAACACAUGCAAGUCGAACGAGACCUUCGGGUCUAGUGGCGCACGGGUGCUUAACGCGUGGGAACCUGCCCUUAGGUUCGGAAUAACUCCCCGAAAGGGGUGCUAAUACCGGAUAAUGUCUUCGGACCAAAGAUUUAUCGCCUUUGGAUGGGCCCGCGUUGGAUUAGCUAGUUGGUAGGGUAAAAGCCUACCAAGGCGACGAUCCAUAGCUGGUCUGAGAGGAUGAUCAGCCACACUGGGACUGAGACACGGCCCAGACUCCUACGGGAGGCAGCAGUGGGGAAUAGUGGACAAUGGGCGAAAGCCUGAUCCAGCAAUGCCGCGUGAGUGAUGAAGGCCUUAGGGUUGUAAAGCUCUUUUACCCGGGAUGAUAAUGACAGUACCGGGAGAAUAAGCUCCGGCUAACUCCGUG